UGAAAGACUUGCGUAGUGAGACGCUCUAAAUGUGCAUAGCGUCUUCUAUCAAGACUUUCGUA
RNAcentral lists this microRNA precursor (62 nucleotides) under Gyrodactylus salaris (gyrodactylosis fluke). RNAcentral describes it as "microRNA gsa-mir-71b precursor". Its record names the gene gsa-mir-71b. Lineage: Eukaryota; Metazoa; Platyhelminthes; Monogenea; Gyrodactylidea; Gyrodactylidae. The record is from miRBase by way of RNAcentral.